RNAcentral lists this ribosomal RNA (604 nucleotides) under Lissocarcinus arkati. Its description in RNAcentral is "partial 16S ribosomal RNA". It matches the Rfam family "Archaeal large subunit ribosomal RNA", at positions 1951 to 2844 of the family's 2987-position model. Lineage: Eukaryota; Metazoa; Arthropoda; Malacostraca; Decapoda; Portunidae. The record is from RNAcentral.
CUGCUCAGUGAUGUAAAUAUUAAAUAGCCGCGGUAUCUUGACCGUGCAAAGGUAGCAUAAUAAUUAGUUUUUUAAUUGAAACCUAGUAUGAAUGGUUGGACAAGAAAAAAACUGUCUCCUUUAUUUAAAUUGAAUUUAACUUUUAAGUGAAAAGGCUUAAAUAAGUCAAGGGGACGAUAAGACCCUAUAAAGCUUUAUAAAUUUAAAGAUUCUAUAAAUAUUUUGAUAAAAGUAAAUUCUUGAAAAUAUAUUAAGUUGGGGCGACAAUGGUAUAAAUGUAGUAACUGCUUUAAAAUAAACCAAAUAUAUUUGAGUAUUAAUAUUAAUUGAUCCUUUAUAAAGAUUUUAAGAUCAAGUUACUUUAGGGAUAACAGCGUUAUUUUUUCUGAGAGUUCUUAUCAAAGAAAAAGUUUGCGACCUCGAUGUUGAAUUAAAAUGUCUUUUUAGUGCAGCAGCUAUAAAAGAAGGUCUGUUCGACCUUUAAUAUUUUACAUGAUUUGAGUUCAGACCGGCGAGAGCCAGGUCGGUUUCUAUCUCUUGAAAAUAAAAAGUUUACUUUAGUACGAAAGGAUUAAGUAAACAAAAAUGUUUUAAUAAAUGAAAU